Molecule: long non-coding RNA, 6413 nt
Filed under: Homo sapiens (human)
Lineage: Eukaryota; Metazoa; Chordata; Mammalia; Primates; Hominidae
Description: HSALNT0342906
Source: RNAcentral
CAAUCCACUGACUCAAAUGUUAGUCUCUGGUAACACCCUCACAGACACACCCAGGAACAAUACUUUGCUUCCUUCAGUCUAAUUAAGCUGACACUCAAUAUUAACCAUCACAGUAAGCAUAUCAGAGACUAUAGGGUCUGCUGUUUGGGACAGGGUGUUCUGAAAGGACCUCUGGUAAGGUGACUUUUGAGCAUAGACCUGAAGAAAAUGGAGGAAUGAGCCCUGUACAUUGUCAGGGAAGAACUGCUCUGGCAGAGGAAAUACAGAUGGAAAGGGCCUGCACUGGAAAAGUGAUCGGCAUGUUAGAGGCACAGUGAGGAGGCCAACACAACCGGUGAGGAGUGAAUCAGGAGAAUAAUAGGGGAUGAAGUCACAGUAUUGGGACCCAGGUCAUAGAGAGCCCUGGAAGGCAUUUUAAGGACUUGGACUUUGAGGAAAAUGAGAAACCAUUGGCCAGUUUGGGGUACAUGGAUGAUAUUUAACCAGAAGAUUCUUUUUCCUCUCUAUCAAGUCAUCACUUUCCACAUUUUAUGGAAAGAAGUUUUAUCUUUUCUUGUUAAGCUAUUGGUGAAUUUUUAACUUUGGGGUUUUGUUUCGGAUAGGUAUUGGGAGAAGGAGAGGCUGUCAACCCAUGCCACUAUGCUAUCUCUAAUUCUGCCAUCCAGACCGAGCAAACGUACUUAAGACCUUUGUGUAAGAUCAGAAAAUCAUAAGACAGCAUUAAAAAGUACUAUACAGGAGGAGAUGGAACAAGAUGGCCAAAUAGAAGCCUCCAGCAAUCAUCUCCCCGAAAGGAAUUGAACAACUAUCAAAACAAAAUUGAACAACUAUCUAAACAAAAAAGUACCUUCAUAAAAAACAAAAAUCAGGACAAUAUCAGAACGGCACAUACAAGUGUCCCCAAGUCAUAUUUGGAAUAAGAUCACUUGGGAACACAAGUCAAAGAAGGACACAGUGUUCUGCCUCUCCUGAGUAAGCAGCAACAACGCACCAUCUUGGAAUCAGGGGACGGCCCUCACCAGACAACUAAAUCUGCAGACACCUUGGACUUCCCAGCCUCCAGAACUGUCUUUCUGGCAACUGUCUAAACAUAAACCAGAGAAGGGCAAGGCAGACUCAGGAAGGACAAAUAGAAGGCUAUUUUCAUAAAUCGGACCACCACCACAUGUGCAGCAUCCCUCUGGGUCUCUUCCAUGACAACCCUGUGGGAAGCCAGGCAAGUGAGAAUCAAUGUAAACAUGAAGUUCAUGCUGCUUACUGUGUCGUGAUAAUGUCCUUGUCUCCCAAUCAGGAGCCUCAUGUCUUCUUGCCAGCCUCUGUGGAACUGUGGUAGGCUAUUAAGUUAAUUAGCAAGCAGGGUAAAGUCUCAGAUCCUUUGCAUUUUCUUUUAACCAGCUCUUUCUAGGUGAAAGACACAUGGAUAUCACUGUGAAACUUCAUGCUCUGUAUAGCUCAAAAUUUUGCCCAAGGGGAGGUUCCAGCACCAUCUGAUUAGUACAUAUUGCUGAGAAAAAUACUAAAGGAAGAAAAUACUAAUAAUAAUAUAUUUCACUAACCCUCUUAGAUAUUAAGAAAUGAAUGAAAAGGUCUAUAUUAUUGACUAUUAAUCACUUGGAAUCUCUGUUGUUAAACUGAGAAGUAAACUGCAUUGCCUAGAAUAUUGGCCAUAUUUUUAGUGAUACUAAUUAAAUUGUUUGAGAUAGAUCUGAAGACAGCAGAAGCUUGUCUGGGCCUAGCUUCCUUGAAUUCUUCUUCCCCGAAUUGCUAUGUCUUGGUAAUUUUGAAAUAUGAGUUAGAAACCAUCUACUUACCUAACUGAUAUCAUUAUUCCAGUUAAUGUUUGUCCCAAGGUAUUUCUCAAAGACUUAAGAAAAAUGAAAAUUCUAUUUUUUAAAGGGCCUAGCUCUUUUAAAAGGAUAUGUUUCAUGGAAUUCUAUUUAUCAACAAACAUGUAGACUACUUCAACAAGACUUCAAUGUGAUUUCAUGUGUUUAUUCUCCUGAGUCAGAUGUGAACAAUGUAAUCCUAAAAGAUUUUGGGGAAUGGUGACAUAUGCUACUUAAUUCACACUCAUGAGCUUAAGAGAAGAUAAGAGAAUGUCAUGCUCAUGUGUGACAAAGAUAAAACUAUAUUCUAACUAGGAUUACAAGAAUAAAACACCAGAAACUUGACAACUUGACAUUUUUUCACAGUGCUUAAAAAUAAAUGUAAUAAAACUUUGGCAGUUAAUGUCAUUUUGAUUUGCUUUAAUUUUAUUUUCAAACCUCUAUUAUUGAAAUAAUAAUUUCAUUAUUUCAAACCUUCAUAGGAAAAUAAUAGAAUUGUGCUGUUGUGUCAGUAUAAGACAUAGUCAACAUUUUCUGCAAUGAACAAGUAAUGUUGAGAUUAACAAGAUUUCUCUUAAUAAAUGUUUUAUACAAGCAUAAGAAAAAUGGAUAGCACAAAAAAUGGAUAGCACAAUAGGGUAACAUUAGCACUUUAACAAAUAAAUCCCAACAUUCUAAUGGCUUAAUACAAUUGAAUUUUAUUUCUUGCUCAUGCAACAGUCCAGCACAGGUGCUCAUGGUCUGCUGCUGGGGCCACGAUGCAUCUGUCUCAUGCAGUCAUAUAGAGACCCAAGUUGAUAGCUGUGAUGUGUUCUCCAAAACAUGGCUUUAGAGGUUGCCAUGGAAAUCAACAUCCAACUGAUGGAAGAGGCAAGAGAAAGGAUGCAAAAACCACACCAGCUGUUUAAUUACCUGGGUCCAGAAGUAACAGGUGCCACUACCUCUCACAUUCUAUUAGUGGAAAUUAGUCACAUGGCCUCUCCUAACUGCUAGUAAGUAUAGAAAAGUUGGUUUUGGCUGGGCAGCCACAAGACAAAGCUACUAAGAAAGACAUAGCAUUAAUUUUAUGUUGUUAGCCAUCUCUGCUAUAAGCGUAAGUCAAAUAGAAUUUUCAUUUUUCUUAAGUCUUUGAGAAAAACAUUGGGACAAACAUUAACUGGAAUAUUGAUAUCCAUUAGGUAUGAGCUUGAUUGUUUCUAACUCAUAUUUCAAAAUUACCAGAUAUAGCAAUUCAGGGAAGAAGAAAAAGGUUUAAAGACUGUGACAUUCAGACUGCUAUAUUCAAUACAGAAAAGAUAUUUGGUGAUAUUUCUAUCCCUUUUUCUUAAAUGUACAUUCUUCUGGGAUUUAAUAAAGUCACAUUCUGAUUUUUAAAAAUAGUACUAUUAAUCUCACUAUAGAGCUCUGAAAAUAAUAGAAUCGUGCUGUUAUAUUACAGCAGUUAUUGAUUGUCCAUUUUUUCCAAAGACACUGAGAUCUAUGGAAGAAAUAAGCCUCAUUAUUUUUCAUUUGUAUUUAAUGUAGAUGCAACAAAAGUUAUAUACUUCUUUAUUAUAUAUUUUGUCAUGCCUAUUAAAUGCCAGUUAUAUAAGAUGAUUCCUGAUCCAAACACAGUGCUUUAUGUUAUUGGGAUUAAAAGAAUUAGUUAAAGCUUUAAGUUAAAUUACUUUUGAAUUCAUUUAUGGCUAGGUACACAUGAAAUAAACACUCUACAUUGUCUACAGUGGUAAUUGCCAAGAAAAAGAGUAUAUUUUAGUAACAAUUUGGCUAAGCGCCUCAAAUUCAAAGUAAUUCCACAUUUAAAUACUAACACUCAAACCUGAAAGUUGUCUUUAAAAGCUUUAUAAAUUGUUUCUGGUGAGGGUUUUACGACUAUGGGGUGGGUGGAAAGGGGAGGAAGGAAGAGGGACUGCCUCACUAUAAGCUGAUAACAAGGUUGCUAAAAAUUGCUCUUAUCAAUGGUCUUUGCACUUAACUUGUUUAAAUAAAAGAAAAAACUUCAUGUGAGUCAUCGUAUUUUGUUCACUACAGCUUGGCAGGUCACCUUGUUCUAGCAGAUAGAAACUGAAUCAAUAUGGGAAGAGCCAGAAUUUGGACAAGGUUCACCAAACAUUCACACUGAUGCCAGGUGGGCCAAGAAAAAGGGAAUGUCCUGCCUCUGAGAAACUCAUCAUACAGUUUGGAGAUAACAUUUGUUGAAGGAGAGAAGAAAAGAGGAGAGAGGAAUGGAGUGAGGCAGAAAGGAAAUGAUGACGAGCUACUCUUCAAAAUUAAGCUGGAUAACAACAAGAAAUUCUAGAAAGCAAUUGAGGCAACCUCCACCCUAAGACCCAGGUAAACCCUACAUUUAAAGUGCUGUUCUGGGGCACAGUGAAAGAUUUCUGCCAGAAAAUUUGCUCCCUAGGAUUUACAUGAUGAUGAGAUUACAUGCUGCCUUGUGGCAACAAAAUCAAAAGUCUGUAAAAGAAAAAGCGUGCUAUGCUUCUGAAUGUUUGGAGAUCCUACAAUAGAUUUUUCAUUCAGCUAUUUUGUUGCUGCUUCAUGAGCACACCUGACAGUCUUGUGGGAUAAUAGAAAUAAACUUCUCAUAAACAACGGUCAAAUUUUUCAGAUAUAUAUUUUCAACACAGAACUAGCAAAAUGUACACAGUGCUAAGUUGUGCCAUCUCUGUACUUUACUACGCAAGGCACUUCUUUGAUAAUGUGCAGCAGAAUAAUGUUAUAGCAGAUUUCACAAUGAAAUCGUCAAUGAAUCUUCUUUCAGUCAUUUCAUUCGGGAUCAAAUCGGACAUAUGCAAAGUUCUUAGAAUCACUUUUGUCAAAUGGGGCAAAAUUGCAGAGGUCAUAGCAAGUAAGGAGCCAUCCUCUUUUAUAACUGCUAUGCCCAUCCAACAACCACAGCUUUCUUACCAAGAUGGUCACCAAGGUCUGCUGCACAGGAUUGCAUACUCCAGAGCACCCUCCAGUCAGUGCAGACACACCAACCGCUGGUCAGCCUACAGGGGUGGUGUCUCUGCUUCUUCUGCCCAGGCAAAGCUGAUAUCAUGCUAGAGAAAGGAUAAGCCAUUGACACCAUCCCCAAAGGAUCCUUAAGAACUAGCAUUGCAAUUUACAUUAUUGACCAUUCAGUGUUGGUUGGACACAUGGUGGUAAAUUUAAGAGAUCCUACUAGCCAAACAGUCCAAGCCAAGUUGCUCUGGGAUAACAAGGUACUAGCAUUGCAACUGGUCUGUGCUGUAACACCAGAAGGAAACUGAGUCUAGGUAUGCUGUAUCAAAAAUCUAUGAUGAUGUCUUCCACGGUAUUCUCUCUCAAGGCCCUUUGUCAAAGAGGUCACUGCUACUAGGCCUUCCAUAGGAGUAAUUGCAGGUAAUUUGGCAAACUAGGUCUUCCUAAGAGAGAGAAACUUGGGUAGGGAAUGUCAAAGUCCAUGAUUCACAUUCUAUACCACAAUCAUGACCAAAGUGAUCAUAAGAUUGGGGUGGCUUGACUUACAGAGGUUGUUAACAAAUGUCCCAAGGUGGUCGCGGAGGCACUUGUCAGAAAAGGUAGUGUUUUUCUUUCAAGAAUCAAAAAUUGAGCCAAUUCAAUAGAAACUCCUUGGUUUCACUGACCAUAUUGAAAAACUCCAGAAAUUAUUCUAAGAAAUUCUCCAACCAGUGAAUCACAUCUGUUGGUUUUAACACCUGAGGCAAACCUUGGCAACCAUCAGGACACUGUCAAGGAUACACUGAAGGAGCGUCUCUACACAGAAUUGCAGUAAAUCGACUCCUUGCAAUUCUGGGGGCAAACAACACAGUUCAAAUUUAUCAAAUGUUAAUUUUAGAGUUACCACUGGAAAAACUAAAACAACUAUCUUAUCCAAUUGGCACUCUGUAUUGUCAUCUUUACAUCUUUACUGUUAAAUCUUAAAUGUUCCUGGUCAUAUGAAACAAUGUUUUCAAAGAAUAUAGGAACCGUUCUUCAUUUUGAAGAUGUAUUCAUUGACUAUGUGAUAAAGGAAAAGCCUUCGGGAAAUAUUCAUUGACUAUCACAUUUAAACCAGUUAUGGGUAUGGAGGAAAGCAAAAAAUGCAAAAGUUAAAAACUUUAUAUCUCUUUCUAAAGUUACCAAUAUUACUGGUAUCCAAUCUAUCUAAAACAGCAUGAAUGUAAUAUAUAGUUACCCUACUAUAAAGGCCAAGCAAGAAUUUUAACCUCUUUGACAGCUCCUCAAUUUCCACCAUGUUUUCCACUGCAAAGGUAGUCACUUCUCCACCCAUAGCAGUAACACUUUCUGUGGCCCUGACCUCAGUAGGAACAGGACUGCUAUCUAGAAAGACCAGCUCUUGAUGUUUGAUGUCCGGGCUAUACCCCCAAAACAAUGAAAUCAGCAGUCCUUGUGGUGGGACAAGGAGAGGGCUAGACACCGAAAUGCACCUAAAAUUUUCCAGGUGAUUCUAAUGUGCAACCAGGGUUGAUAAUCACUGGGACAGUCUAACAGGCCCACACCAAACACAGUGAGAGAAGUAAGCAAAGGGAAAUCUAUUCCUUGCCCUUAAGAAAUUUGCUGGCCAGGCUCGGUGGCUCACACCUGUAAUCCCAGUUC